This is an RNA transcript of Cercocebus atys (sooty mangabey), 3074 nucleotides long. RefSeq lists it as uncharacterized. The transcript has 4 exons. The record is from RefSeq and is a predicted model, not a curated record. Lineage: Eukaryota; Metazoa; Chordata; Mammalia; Primates; Cercopithecidae.
CUGGAAGCGGCGUUUGUCCCCACUUUGUAUCAGUCGCAAAGAAAGAGCACCCAAUUGGACGAAAGGCUGCGUUCCUGGCCCAGAGUGGGUCUUACCCCACAGAAACUGAGGAUGGACUGAUUGACUUGAAGACUGAGAAGCUGGACAUGACCUGCUGUGAAAAGAGCCUCUGUAACAAGGGCGUCAAGGGGGCAGAGGCUGUGGAUGGGGAAGGCGGCACAGGGUCCUGCCUGGGCCUUACCUCCCGAGGUCCCCACAGGGGCAGAGUGGUGGGGGGCUGGUGAGGGGCAGUGCCAGGACCCGCUGCCCAUCCUCCGGAGGCUCAUUUGCAGGCAGAUGCUGGGAAGCAGGGGCUGGAUGGGGCUGCAGAGAGGAGGGCGCCCAGUUCCGGGCUGGCGUGGAGACUGGGAAAUCCCCGGCGGGACGCUCAGGUUCAGAGCCCUGAGGAAGAAGCUUGCUCCUGAUGCACCAGGAAACUGAAACUGAAACUCAGGGCCCUAGUCCAGGACCCUCCUCUCUAUUGAGUCACAAUUUCUCCUUCUAAGGCAACCUCCCACCCCAGGGGACACCCUCUCGCUUCUCUCCUCACGGCAGCCCCUCCUCCUUCCGGGUCUGUUCUGCUCACACCCUGAGCUCUGGGAGGCCCCAGGCAGAGAAGGGGUGGGGGGUGGGGGGUGGUCUUGCUCGAGGUCACGUCUGCCUUCCAGAGCAGCCAGAUCAGGUCACAUCUGCCUUCCAGGCACAGAAGGGGUGGGGUGAGGGGGGCCUUGCUCGAGGUCACAUCAGCCUUCUAGAGCAGCCAGGUCAGGACGGAAGGGUUUCUACCCCUCAGUUCCCGUACUACGAGAUGAUGGGGUGAGGCCAUCGGCUGUGUGCAUAUUACACAAGCAAUCUGGGUUCCUCCUCGUAAACCAGACGUGGGGCAGAGGUUCCCAGGCUCGGGGGUGCAAGGCCUCCCCUAGCUCUUUCCAGGCUCGGAGCCUCUGUGCCACACCUGCCCUCCAUGCACCCACACCCAAGACCAUGAAGGUCACCGGCCCCUGCUGCUGCUGGCGCAGCUGUGGGUGAAGCCCUGUAAGUGGGGGCUGAGGGGGGAGGAUGGGAAGGAGGCCUGAAGGUGGGAGUGAGACCCUCUCGAUGCUGGGGGCUCCAGAUGCCAGCAGGACCCUGCCCACAAUUCUGAGUAGCCAAGGGCACCUGAGCCUACCUGUGUGCUGCCCAGGCCUGCUGCCUGUGCUGGUGAGAGGGACUGGAACCCACCCUUCAGCCUGGGACCCUGACCUGCACCCUCCCUGCCCCAUCCUGAGUCAGGGCCUUGAGUGCUUCCAGUGCUGUGGUGUCUUGGACCCCAGCCUGUGCCACCCGUCUCCGACCCCAUGCAGGCUCAAAGCUGCCCCUCCUCUGUGGUCACUGGCACUACCAAUGGUGAGUCCGGGUGGGACCCGGCGUCUGUAAGCAGGUAAGGGGUGGGCAGGGCACUCUCAGGCAGCAUCCCAGGGGCUCUGCCUUGAGCCCCCUGGCCUGGUAGAAGCUUGGAUCUGGGGACAGAGCUCAGGGACCUCCAUCUAACGGAUCACAGACUUGGCGUGGAGCCUGGGGCCGCCCCCCGUUCUCAUCUGCUUGUCUCCGUGUCGCCACUGGCUUCAAGGUUCCCUGAAGGGGGCGGUCCUGGGGCAGGUCCGAGGGGGUCGGGUGGGGCCUCCUGUGCCAGCCGCCCUCCUCUCGCCCACAGGGCAGAAAUUCAGCUACGCUAGCAAGGGCUGUGCCCCCACCCCGUGCCCAGAUUAUGAACCUCACCCAUCCUGUGGUCCAUGGAGGGUCUUACCCCAUAGAAACUGAGGAUGGACUGAUUGACUUGAAGACUGAGAAGCUGGACAUGACCUGCUGUGAAAAGAGCCUCGCUUCAGGAAAUUGAAACUCAGCGCGCUGGGCUCCUCCCUUCUCUGCUCCAGGCCCAGGAGACAACCCGGACUCCCUUCCUCGGCUCCUGGAAACCACCUGUCCUUGGGGGGCCUCCCGCCUCCGGAGGGCGGGGCGGCAGGAACCCGGCGGCGGAACCACUCCCUCCGCUACCCGCAGGAGGUCAGGGCUGCCUCUGACCCCAGCCCUAAACCCAGAGCAGAGGGAGAGCUGGGCCCCGAGUUCCAGAUCCCAGGAGGACAAGCAGCUUCCACUCUGAGACUGUCUCCCCUGGGGAAACGAGGGGAUUGACUGUGCCCUCGUCUCAGUGUGGUUGCGAGACUUAGAAACCAGUGAGCUCACCUCGGAAGUGGAGGAGAUGCCAGAGAUGGAAGCGAAAAUUAGCUUUAGCAGAAACCAAGCAUUUGUUAGAAAUUCUAUGAUCGCCCAGCGCCCACCAUGUUCCUGUGUCCCUGGAGUCAGAUCCAGGUUCCUGGCCAUGGCUUUUGGGUGCAACUUCCUCUCACCAGCUCCACUAUGAUCAACUGGUCUGUCCCUCCAGCAAAGCCACCUGUGAUUCCAAGUGAACAAUGCAGUGAAUGCACUGCACGCUGGGACCCGAAUGCCGGGAUCUCUGUCCUCCUGGCUACCGUGCCCAGGCUUCUGGACCAUCUGGUUUCCACCCUCUGUUCUCUGCUUGCAUUUCUCAAUGCUAGAGCAACCCACUCAGCAAAUCCAAACUCCCCACAGAAUCUCAAGCUCAGUCUCUGCAGGGUCCGUCCACAGGGAGUGGUGACUGGCGGCAGGACCCUCCUCCCGGUGACCCCUUCCAGGUCCUCUUGCUCAGUUACAACGGGCCCUUCUUGGGUGGCAGUAAUGAUUCGUGUGUUUCAGACAGGAAUCACUACCUCAGGGACACAGGAGGAGGACACAGGUCGUUGACCUGCCUUGACCUCAGGGACCUGGGAGGACCUGGCUAUUCAUAUCAGCUGCCAGGGGGGGAAUCUUGGGCUUCCAUGGUGACCACUGGCCCCUCCUGCUGGACGGUGCCCCUGGAAUCUUGACACACAGCACAGUUUCUGGCCAGCCAGGGAAAUCCAGGGUCGGCGCUGAGUGGCUGAGACCCUGGUCCGUUUCCUCCCAUUGUCCCAGAUAAACAAACAAACACACCUCCA